Hibiscus syriacus is the source of this 358-nucleotide long non-coding RNA. RefSeq lists it as uncharacterized. NCBI's taxonomy places the organism in Eukaryota, Viridiplantae, Streptophyta, Magnoliopsida, Malvales, Malvaceae. The transcript has 2 exons. The record is from RefSeq and is a predicted model, not a curated record.
CUUAAUUUCAGGAAUUCCAAUAGGAAGCAAUGCUCCAAAAGGAUAGAGAAGAACUUCAGGAACCUUUACGGGUAGCAUUUUGUAAGAAUGUGAAACCUGGCCAACCUGUGAUUGACAUUCUUGAGAUGAAUAAGUUGCGGAGGCAAUACUAUUUUUGUCUUAUGUUUGGGAACAACGGCUGAUACAUGCAUAUGGUUCGAUUAACAAUAGUAUCCAGGAAGUUACGAGCAGUUCCAUCACUAUGCUUGGAUUGAAGCCCGUAAGUUCUGUGGAGAAGCUUCAUGAGAUUAAUUUCAAUCCCAAGCAAGUAAAGCCUUAAGUAGUUCCGAGUCUUCCCUAGUUGGGACCUGGCCUAACA